GAAUAAGGAGAUCAUAACAUUAACUAACUCUCAGGACUGCUAUGAAGAUAAAAUGAGAUCAUCAUCAUCAUCGUCAUCAUCACUUAUUCAAUGCUUACUACCAUCUUGGCACUCUUAAGUGUUACAAGUAUUUUAACUCUAACAAUAACUCCACAAAGAAGAAAUCCUACUAUUACGUAAGUGAUCUUCAUGAAGCUCCCCAUUCCCCAUGGAGUUUGGAAGGAGAAGCAUUCCUGUAGCCUUCUGUUGAUAAGGGAAGAAGAAUCUUCCUGCUUGGACACUGGGCUUCUGAAAAGGCCGUGUGCUCUCCUAUCUCACAGUCUUUUUUCUUUUACUUUGUUUGUUUGUUUUCUCUUUUUAAUUGUUUAUUUCUGACUUCACAGUCUUGUAUGUGUUUUGACUGUCAGAAGGAUGAGCAUUUGGUGUGGUAGAAAAACAUUGUUGGAUUAGUACCUCUCAUUAGUCCCUAAAAAUAGGUAUGUAUCUGGCCCCAACUCCCGGUGACUCUCUAAGCUUAGGAUGCAUUUUUUUUGGUAUGUUUUAUGUGUAAUUUUGAGUUUACCCAGUGAUUUUGAAGACAGGACAAAAUCCCAUGUGAACAUUGUCUUGUACUCCAUUAAAUUGUCAUUACCAGAGUUACGGGAAGAUUGUUAUCUCAUUCUAACUUUAUAUCACCAAUAUCUAACACAGCCGCUGCAAAAUCAUUGGUAUUCAAUAAACAUUUGUUAAAUGAAUAAAUGAAUGAGUGAAAAGCCAAAUGUAAUAUGGAGGAAAGUUGAAUUCUUUGGUACAUAAUAGGCAGAAUAUAAUCAGGGAAAUGUGCACCCUGAGAAAUUGCUAUCAUCAUCUUAACACAAUAUAACAUCUAAAGUUCUUAAAUUGGUCCUCUUGAUACCAUUGUGUUUAUUGUCUCUAUUUUUAUACUUUUAGGCUUUGGUUUCAUUUUCUACUUAUUAGUUAAAUAAUUAUGAGAACUGUGGGAAUAAAUUUAAGAUAUUACCAUGUUUCUAUAGAGAGUUAUGCUGUAAUGUAGUGAUUAUGAAAUGAUCUCAAAUCUACUCAGAAUUAUUAAAAUGUAUAGUUUAAUACAUAUUUUUAUUUUUGUUCAUUCUUCCCCAAAUUAUAUUAAAAUGAUCCUUCUGCACUU
Non-coding RNA from Saimiri boliviensis boliviensis (Bolivian squirrel monkey), 1147 nucleotides. The record is from RefSeq and is a predicted model, not a curated record. NCBI's taxonomy places the organism in Eukaryota, Metazoa, Chordata, Mammalia, Primates, Cebidae.